This 148-nucleotide non-coding RNA is filed under the name Gorilla gorilla gorilla (western lowland gorilla). The record is from Rfam by way of RNAcentral. Lineage: Eukaryota; Metazoa; Chordata; Mammalia; Primates; Hominidae.
GCUGGGCAUGGUGGUGCAUGCCUGUAGUACCAGCUACUCAGGAGGCUGAGGCAUGAGAAUCACUUGAACCCAGGAGGCAGAGGCUGCAGUGAGCUGAGAUCACGCCACUGCACUCUGGCCUGGGUGACAGAGUGAGACCCUGUCUCAA